GCCAAUCUACAGCAGACCCUCCCUCCCAGACCCUCCUACUUCCUGGACAGCAUCCAUGUUGAAGGCAGCUUCAACAUGAUUGCUGUCCAGGAGGUGGGAGGGUCUGGGAGGGAGGGUCUGCUGGACAUUGGCC
This 133-nucleotide microRNA precursor is filed under the name Pelobates cultripes (western spadefoot toad). The record is from RNAcentral. Lineage: Eukaryota; Metazoa; Chordata; Amphibia; Anura; Pelobatidae.